This 743-nucleotide ribosomal RNA is filed under the name uncultured bacterium. RNAcentral's name for it is "bacterial SSU rRNA". It matches the Rfam family "Bacterial small subunit ribosomal RNA", at positions 78 to 818 of the family's 1533-position model. The record is from RNAcentral.
GCUUGCUUCUCUUGAGAGCGGCGGACGGGUGAGUAAUGCCUAGGAAUCUGCCUGGUAGUGGGGGAUAACGUCCGGAAACGGACGCUAAUACCGCAUACGUCCUACGGGAGAAAGCAGGGGACCUUCGGGCCUUGCGCUAUCAGAUGAGCCUAGGUCGGAUUAGCUAGUUGGUGGGGUAAUGGCUCACCAAGGCGACGAUCCGUAACUGGUCUGAGAGGAUGAUCAGUCACACUGGAACUGAGACACGGUCCAGACUCCUACGGGAGGCAGCAGUGGGGAAUAUUGGACAAUGGGCGAAAGCCUGAUCCAGCCAUGCCGCGUGUGUGAAGAAGGUCUUCGGAUUGUAAAGCACUUUAAGUUGGGAGGAAGGGCAGUAAAUUAAUACUUUGCUGUUUUGACGUUACCGACAGAAUAAGCACCGGCUAACUCUGUGCCAGCAGCCGCGGUAAUACAGAGGGUGCAAGCGUUAAUCGGAAUUACUGGGCGUAAAGCGCGCGUAGGUGGUUCGUUAAGUUGGAUGUGAAAUCCCCGGGCUCAACCUGGGAACUGCAUUCAAAACUGACGAGCUAGAGUAUGGUAGAGGGUGGUGGAAUUUCCUGUGUAGCGGUGAAAUGCGUAGAUAUAGGAAGGAACACCAGUGGCGAAAGCGACCACCUGGACUGAUACUGACACUGAGUGCGAAAGCGUGGGGAGCAAACAGGAUUAGAUACCCUGGUAGUCCACGCCGUAAACGAUGUCAACUA